UACGUAGGGGGCAAGCGUUGUCCGGAAUCAUUGGGCGUAAAGCGCGUGUAGGCGGCCCGAUAAGUCCGCUGUAAAAGUCCAGGGCUCAACCCUGGAAAGCCGGUGGAUACUGUCGGGCUCGAGUCCGGAAGAGGCGAGUGGAAUUCCUGGUGUAGCGGUGAAAUGCGCAAAUAUCAGGAGGAACACCGAUGGCGAAGGCAGCUCGCUGGGACGGUACUGACGCUGAGACGCGAAAGCGUGGGGAGCAAACAGG
This 253-nucleotide ribosomal RNA is filed under the name uncultured bacterium. RNAcentral's name for it is "partial 16S ribosomal RNA". It matches the Rfam family "Bacterial small subunit ribosomal RNA", at positions 524 to 776 of the family's 1533-position model. The record is from RNAcentral.